RNAcentral lists this transfer RNA (72 nucleotides) under Parageobacillus thermoglucosidasius. RNAcentral's name for it is "tRNA-Gly". It matches the Rfam family "tRNA". From Rfam's summary of the family: Transfer RNA (tRNA) molecules are approximately 80 nucleotides in length. Their secondary structure includes four short double-helical elements and three loops (D, anti-codon, and T loops). RNAcentral also lists the same sequence under 2 other names. Lineage: Bacteria; Bacillati; Bacillota; Bacilli; Caryophanales; Anoxybacillaceae. The record is from RNAcentral.
GCGGAAGUAGUUCAGUGGCAGAACACCACCUUGCCAAGGUGGGGGUCGCGGGUUCAAGUCCCGUCUUCCGCU